Molecule: non-coding RNA, 108 nt
Organism: Acanthosepion pharaonis
Lineage: Eukaryota; Metazoa; Mollusca; Cephalopoda; Sepiida; Sepiidae
Source: the annotation of a GenBank genome assembly
UUACGGCCAUCUCACUUUGAAACACCGGUUCUCGUACGAUCACCAAAGUUAAGCAACGUUGAAGUUGAUCAAUACUUAGAUGGGUGACGUCUUGGGUAUACUGAAAGG